This 476-nucleotide unclassified non-coding RNA is filed under the name Hevea brasiliensis (rubber tree). Lineage: Eukaryota; Viridiplantae; Streptophyta; Magnoliopsida; Malpighiales; Euphorbiaceae. The record is from RNAcentral.
AAAAAAAUGGAAAAAGGGAUAUUUUAUAACUUCCAAAUACACGGAAAAUACAGAAUUUUAGUGGCUAAGAAAUUCAAUUGAAGAGAAUUUCCCUUCAUAAACAGACGCAUGAUUCAUUUAUAUAAAUAUGAUGUCAUUUGUGAUUGAGCAAUUUCGAACUUAUAACCAAAAUAACAAAGAAAUUUAGUUCUGUUUUUUUUAGGGACUUCCCUAACCUCUCACAUUUCUUUUGCAAUUCCAGUGCUUAGCAAGGGAGGUGGAAGAAGAAUGAGGAGAAAAGGGAUGUGGAAUCCGCUCCAACAAUUUCCACAACAGGCAAAUAUCCUGAUUAAUGAUUUCAUUUGUUAUGAUGUUAAAGUAAAUAAAUUGCAUUAUGUUGGGAUGCUUUGAUUUAUAUUAAACAAGCAACAAUUCACUCUAUGUGUCCUUGCAUCACCUUCUAAACCACAUACUUUCUUCUUUAUUUAUUUAUUUAU